AGUGAACGCUGGCGGUAGGCCUAACACAUGCAAGUCGAACGGCAGCACAGUAAGAGCUUGCUCUUACGGGUGGCGAGUGGCGGACGGGUGAGGAAUACAUCGGGAUCUACUUUUUCGUGGGGGAUAACGUAGGGAAACUUACGCUAAUACCGCAUACGACCUACGGGUGAAAGCAGGGGAUCUUCGGACCUUGCGCGAUUGAAUGAGCCGAUGUCGGAUUAGCUAGUUGGCGGGGUAAAGGCCCACCAAGGCGACGAUCCGUAGCUGGUCUGAGAGGAUGAUCAGCCACACUGGAACUGAGACACGGUCCAGACUCCUACGGGAGGCAGCAGUGGGGAAUAUUGGACAAUGGGCGAAAGCCUGAUCCAGCCAUACCGCGUGGGUGAAGAAGGCCUUCGGGUUGUAAAGCCCUUUUGUUGGGAAAGAAAAGCAGCAGGUUAAUACCCCGCUGUUCUGACGGUACCCAAAGAAUAAGCACCGGCUAACUUCGUG
Molecule: ribosomal RNA, 492 nt
Filed under: uncultured bacterium
Lineage: Bacteria
Description: partial 16S ribosomal RNA
Rfam family: Bacterial small subunit ribosomal RNA
Source: RNAcentral